RNAcentral lists this non-coding RNA (31 nucleotides) under Mus musculus (house mouse). The record is from RNAcentral. Lineage: Eukaryota; Metazoa; Chordata; Mammalia; Rodentia; Muridae.
UGGAUUCUGGUCUGUGUGCUUAGAAAGACUC